UCUAAAGGAUUGUGCACGCUCCCCCGGGCAUCAUUAUGCCCACUGGCAUCCUUUAAGCAGCCGGAAGCGAGGAUCCGAGGGAGGGUGAUUCGCACCCUGGACCCCUCGGAAUACCCCGUGGCACAGAUAUGCUCCCUGUCGAGGCAUUUCCCAGGGAGCAAUAUCAUGAUAAAGCUCCGACAGCUCGCCAGGGAGCGAGAGGAGGAAGAGCGCAGGGAGCGAGAGGAAGAGGAACGUGCACAGGAAGCAGAGACCUGCGUGCCACCUCUGGUGCAGGACACCAGAGAGGUGGAAAUGGUCGCGCAGGAGGAAGGUGCACAGGGGGAAGACGCACAGGAGGAAGGUGCGCAAG
Stegodyphus dumicola is the source of this 352-nucleotide long non-coding RNA. The record is from RefSeq and is a predicted model, not a curated record. Lineage: Eukaryota; Metazoa; Arthropoda; Arachnida; Araneae; Eresidae.